CGUCCACAAGCUUCCUCAAAACCUAAAUUUGAAAAAGCAUCAAAUGGUUAACAAUCAUUAUCCUCAGAAAUGUAGAAGUCCAGUAAUUACACAAAAUACAAAUCCCUCCUCUGGCCAGAACGUUCAAAAUAAAAACCUUUUGCAAAAGCUUAGUCCUUGUGUCUCACAAACCUGAGCACCAUACCCAGAAAAUGUGGAACAGGUAACUAAUCCAUUCACAAUUCCUGUACAAAACCAUAAUUAAGUACACAUUCUAGUACAACAAUGGAGAAAAAUUUUAUACUGAUUUCGAGUUGCAUAACACAAAAGUUCACAUUACUUUUAAAACGACAUCAACUAACUCAAAGUUAUUCCAGGAUCUAUAUUAAUCCAAAAGAGUCAACAACCACACAAUAUUUAGAUUAUACCUGAGCAGAAAUCUCCUCAGCA
RNAcentral lists this unclassified non-coding RNA (429 nucleotides) under Hevea brasiliensis (rubber tree). The record is from RNAcentral. Lineage: Eukaryota; Viridiplantae; Streptophyta; Magnoliopsida; Malpighiales; Euphorbiaceae.